Molecule: ribosomal RNA, 1416 nt
Filed under: Mammaliicoccus sciuri
Lineage: Bacteria; Bacillati; Bacillota; Bacilli; Caryophanales; Staphylococcaceae
Description: bacterial SSU rRNA
Rfam family: Bacterial small subunit ribosomal RNA
Source: RNAcentral
UCGAGCGAACGAUGAGAAGCUUGCUUCUCUGAUGUUAGCGGCGGACGGGUGAGUAACACGUGGGUACCUACCUAUAAGACUGGGAUAACUCCGGGAACCGGGGCUAAUACCGGAUAAUAUUUUGAACCGCAUGGUUCAAUAGUGAAAGACGGUUUCGGCUGUCACUUAUAGAUGGACCCGCGCCGUAUUAGCUAGUUGGUAAGGUAACGGCUUACCAAGGCGACGAUACGUAGCCGACCUGAGAGGGUGAUCGGCCACACUGGAACUGAGACACGGUCCAGACUCCUACGGGAGGCAGCAGUAGGGAAUCUUCCGCAAUGGGCGAAAGCCUGACGGAGCAACGCCGCGUGAGUGAUGAAGGUCUUCGGAUCGUAAAACUCUGUUGUUAGGGAAGAACAAAUUUGUUAGUAACUGAACAAGUCUUGACGGUACCUAACCAGAAAGCCACGGCUAACUACGUGCCAGCAGCCGCGGUAAUACGUAGGUGGCAAGCGUUAUCCGGAAUUAUUGGGCGUAAAGCGCGCGUAGGCGGUUUCUUAAGUCUGAUGUGAAAGCCCGCGGCUCAACCGGGGAGGGUCAUUGGAAACUGGGGAACUUGAGUGCAGAAGAGGAGAGUGGAAUUCCACGUGUAGCGGUGAAAUGCGUAGAGAUGUGGAGGAACACCAGUGGCGAAGGCGACUCUCUGGUCUGUAACUGACGCUGAGGAGCGAAAGCGUGGGGAGCGAACAGGAUUAGAUACCCUGGUAGUCCACGCCGUAAACGAUGAGUGCUAAGUGUUAGGGGGUUUCCGCCCCUUAGUGCUGCAGCUAACGCAUUAAGCACUCCGCCUGGGGAGUACGACCGCAAGGUUGAAACUCAAAGGAAUUGACGGGGACCCGCACAAGCGGUGGAGCAUGUGGUUUAAUUCGAAGCAACGCGAAGAACCUUACCAAAUCUUGACAUCCUUUGACCGCUCUAGAGAUAGAGUCUUCCCCUUCGGGGGACAAAGUGACAGGUGGUGCAUGGUUGUCGUCAGCUCGUGUCGUGAGAUGUUGGGUUAAGUCCCGCAACGAGCGCAACCCUUAAGCUUAGUUGCCAUCAUUAAGUUGGGCACUCUAGGUUGACUGCCGGUGACAAACCGGAGGAAGGUGGGGAUGACGUCAAAUCAUCAUGCCCCUUAUGAUUUGGGCUACACACGUGCUACAAUGGAUAAUACAAAGGGCAGCGAAUCCGCGAGGCCAAGCAAAUCCCAUAAAAUUAUUCUCAGUUCGGAUUGUAGUCUGCAACUCGACUACAUGAAGCUGGAAUCGCUAGUAAUCGUAGAUCAGCAUGCUACGGUGAAUACGUUCCCGGGUCUUGUACACACCGCCCUUCACACCACGAGAGUUGUAACACCCGAAGCCGGUGGAGUAACCUUUUAGGAGCUAGCCGUCGAAG